GACGAACGCUGGCGGCGUGCUUAACACAUGCAAGUCGAACGGAAAGGCCCUGCUUUUGUGGGGUGCUCGAGUGGCGAACGGGUGAGUAACACGUGAGUAACCUGCCCUUGACUUUGGGAUAACUUCAGGAAACUGGGGCUAAUACCGGAUAGGAGCUCCUGCUGCAUGGUGGGGGUUGGAAAGUUUCGGCGGUUGGGGAUGGACUCGCGGCUUAUCAGCUUGUUGGUGUGGUAGUGGCUUACCAAGGCUUUGACGGGUAGCCGGCCUGAGAGGGUGACCGGCCACAUUGGGACUGAGAGACGGCCCAGAAUCCUACGGGAGGAAGCAGGGGGGAAUAUUGCACAAUGGGCGGAAGCCUGAUGCAGAAACGCCGCGUGCGGGAUGACGGCCUUCGGGUGGUAAACCGCUGUCGCAUGUGACGAAGCGUGAGUGAUGGUAAUGGGUAAAGAAGCACCGGCUAACUACGUG
Molecule: ribosomal RNA, 468 nt
Filed under: uncultured bacterium
Lineage: Bacteria
Description: partial 16S ribosomal RNA
Rfam family: Bacterial small subunit ribosomal RNA
Source: RNAcentral